UUUUCACCUUCUUUUGUUCAGAUUUGGCAUCUAGAAUAUCAUCACGUACCUUUCCUGCUUCUUUGCCAUCACUAGCCAGAUUUUUCAACACUGUAAUCGGCUUCUCAAUAAUUAUAUUCAGAUGUGAACUCUUCUUUGGGCCAUCACACUUGACACGGUAUAUUUGUGUAACACCCCGGAAACCACAAAUACACCGGAAUGCUACUAAACUACACAAACAACAGCUGCACACAAUUAACAAAUAAUUUGGCAGCAUCUCCUUUGUAUUUAUAGCAAGCGGAAGAAUAAAAUAUAUAAAUAACUGAAAUACCAAACUAGGAUUAAUAAACAUCCUAACGCAAAAGAGAUACUCCAACAAGAAUUAAGUUUAACAUCCACACUUUAAACAAAGACCUUCAAAACCAAUGAGCAAACCAAGUUAUUAUUUAUUAAAACACAAGGUCUCUAAAUGAAGAAGUGUGUGACGUGCAGCUAAUUCCCUUCCCUUCCAAGCAAGCAUCAAGUACCUGAAUUGAGUAAAGCAAGAGUGAGAUAAAAUAUCUCAGCAAGCGAAUUUGUUUUGACAAGCUAUUUAAACCACAAGUUGAAUUAACAUCAAUUUAAUAUGGUGUUUCCAAUUGACAUGAUAUCAGAUUAAAAUAACAGACUUCUGAUUUGGAACAUAGCCAACAAUAGAGAGCUUCAUAAUAACGUGGAUAAAAUCCCUUCAAUAACAUACUUCUCAUGAAUGCAUAUGAAUGCAAUGCAUAUGUCUCCUGCC
This 760-nucleotide long non-coding RNA is filed under the name Sorghum bicolor (sorghum). Its description in RNAcentral is "long non-coding RNA (SBIC_LNC001043)". The record is from RNAcentral. Lineage: Eukaryota; Viridiplantae; Streptophyta; Magnoliopsida; Poales; Poaceae.